GCCGGCCUAGCUCAGUUGGUAGAGCAGCUGAUUUGUAAUCAGCAGGUCACUGGUUCGAGUCCAGUGGCCGGCUCCA
RNAcentral lists this transfer RNA (76 nucleotides) under Candidatus Babeliales bacterium. Its description in RNAcentral is "tRNA-Thr". It matches the Rfam family "tRNA". From Rfam's summary of the family: Transfer RNA (tRNA) molecules are approximately 80 nucleotides in length. Their secondary structure includes four short double-helical elements and three loops (D, anti-codon, and T loops). The record is from RNAcentral. Lineage: Bacteria; Candidatus Babeliae; Candidatus Babeliales.